CACUUGGCAUAUAGAAUGUGAAAAUGUGGCGACAUCGUUGCUUCGCCUCCUCCUUCCCGUGAUCCGAGGCGGACGGCGUUCCACAUAUCGGCCUUUUUUCUUGGUAAUCCAGAAUGACGAACAGACGGCCAUGGAUGAAAGCAAGGCACUCCCGGAGGAACAGUGGAAGAAGUACCAGCUGAUGACCGGAGAAAGCAGGGAGAGGCUGGAGUGCUGAGGGGUGCUGCUGGAGUGCCUGGACGAGGCGGCCCGGGAGGAAAAGCACUGGGCCGAGGAGAUGAAGAGGGACAUUGUUGACUUGGUGGACAUGUACCGGAUGGGCAAUGCCAUCGUGCUGCCUCGGCCAGGAAGCACUCGCUGGAGACUCACAAGCUGCUGGGUGACUUGGAGGGCUUGGGGAACAGCCUUGAGGAAAUUGCCAAGAAUCUGAAGCAGCUCUUGUCCAAGAGGGACCAUUAAGAAACGUGAUCCUUGCUGCUGCUGCUGCCGCCGGGUUAAGGGAUAAAAGGGACGUUAGGCUGUGAAGUAGUGUUGUGAUACUCUUGCUUGGUACCAACAGCUGCACAACACCACGCUGAAGGACGCUUCUGCACCCUGUCGUGUGUGCGGCCUGCUUCAUGUGUCAGAACCUGGACCUCAGAAAGCUGUGGAGCCUCAGAAGGGGAAGCACUAGGAGCUGUGGGUCUCUCCAGCCUGAGCCUUGAGGACUCAGACAAAGCCUGUUGGCUCUGGGUGGGUGCCGAUGGGCGGGAAAGGUCAGGCCUGGACCAUGGGAGGAGGAAGACUUUCCCUCGCUUGGCUCUGAGCAGGCCAGGAAAGGGCUAUGGCUGACUGGCUGGUGCUGUCUGGUCACUCAGCUCAGCAAGGGACUGGAAGCUGGAACUCUCUCUCUCUCACAAAAAAAGUAGCAUAAAAGUGUAUAAGGUCCAUUGAAAAGAAGAGAGAGAGAGAGAGAGCGAGCCAUCUCAUCCUCUCUCUCUCUAUCCCCUCAAUAUCCAGGCAGCAUCUUGGGAGGGGAGGGGAAGAGAAGGGAAGGGAAGGGAAGAAUACAGUAGCUCACUGGUGGACAGAGGAAAGAGACAAGGAAGAAGAAGAAGAGACUCGUCUCAUCUGAUCUCCCCCAGCAUCCUGAAGGCCUGACUGGUUCCCUCGGCUCAGUGGUCUCGUCUCUG
This is a long non-coding RNA of Eriocheir sinensis (Chinese mitten crab), 1172 nucleotides long. RefSeq lists it as uncharacterized. The record is from RefSeq and is a predicted model, not a curated record. The transcript has 7 exons. Lineage: Eukaryota; Metazoa; Arthropoda; Malacostraca; Decapoda; Varunidae.